CCUGGGAUAGUUCAGCUGGCAGAGCCUGAGACUCUUAAUCUCAGAGUUGUGGGUUUGAGGUCCAUGGUAUUGCAGGG
Non-coding RNA from Podarcis lilfordi (Lilford's wall lizard), 77 nucleotides. Lineage: Eukaryota; Metazoa; Chordata; Lepidosauria; Squamata; Lacertidae. The record is from the annotation of a GenBank genome assembly.